This 73-nucleotide transfer RNA is filed under the name Zootermopsis nevadensis. It matches the Rfam family "tRNA". Rfam says of the family: Transfer RNA (tRNA) molecules are approximately 80 nucleotides in length. Their secondary structure includes four short double-helical elements and three loops (D, anti-codon, and T loops). The record is from Rfam by way of RNAcentral. Lineage: Eukaryota; Metazoa; Arthropoda; Insecta; Blattodea; Termopsidae.
GCCACGGUGGUCUAGCGGUUAGAACGCUGGCCUUGUAAUCCUGGGGUCCUGGGUUCGAUUCCCGGCGGUGCCC